Molecule: ribosomal RNA, 390 nt
Filed under: Ehrlichia chaffeensis
Lineage: Bacteria; Pseudomonadati; Pseudomonadota; Alphaproteobacteria; Rickettsiales; Anaplasmataceae
Description: bacterial SSU rRNA
Rfam family: Bacterial small subunit ribosomal RNA
Source: RNAcentral
CAAUUGCUUAUAACCUUUUGGUUAUAAAUAAUUGUUAGUGGCAGACGGGUGAGUAAUGCGUAGGAAUCUACCUAGUAGUAUGGAAUAGCCAUUAGAAAUGAUGGGUAAUACUGUAUAAUCCCUGCGGGGGAAAGAUUUAUCGCUAUUAGAUGAGCCUACGUUAGAUUAGCUAGUUGGUAAGGUAAUGGCUUACCAAGGCUAUGAUCUAUAGCUGGUCUGAGAGGACGAUCAGCCACACUGGAACUGAGAUACGGUCCAGACUCCUACGGGAGGCAGCAGUGGGGAAUAUUGGACAAUGGGCGAAAGCCUGAUCCAGCUAUGCCGCGUGAGUGAAGAAGGCCCUCGGGUUUAAUGCCAAAUUCAAUAGGGAAGAUAAUGACGGUACCUAUA